This is a non-coding RNA of Cavia porcellus (domestic guinea pig), 70 nucleotides long. The record is from Rfam. NCBI's taxonomy places the organism in Eukaryota, Metazoa, Chordata, Mammalia, Rodentia, Caviidae.
GGGGAUUUAGCUCAGCGGCAUAAGCACCUGCCUUACAAGCAGGUGGUCAUGGGUUCGAUCCCCGGUACCG